Molecule: long non-coding RNA, 284 nt
Filed under: Aotus nancymaae (Ma's night monkey)
Lineage: Eukaryota; Metazoa; Chordata; Mammalia; Primates; Aotidae
Description: lncRNA (ENSANAG00000039482.1)
Source: RNAcentral
GAGAGGGAGACACAGAAAAAGAGAAAUGGACUUGAGCUCUUUGAUCCAGGAGUUCUGAAAGCUAUCCUUGCACUUUUAGUUCUGGGAACCAUUAAAUUCUCCUCCCCCACCAUUUUAUUUAUCUGAUUUGAAUUGGAUUUUUGCCUAGUUCAACAGAAAUAGUUCUGAGCAAACUCAGAACUUUAAUGGUUUUUGGAAAUUUUUAUGGUGAAAUUACUCAGGAACGAACGAUGGGAGAACAAGACAGGGGAAAAGGGUGCUCAGCGCGAGGGACACCAAAAUGA